Molecule: unclassified non-coding RNA, 383 nt
Filed under: uncultured Stachybotrys
Lineage: Eukaryota; Fungi; Ascomycota
Description: sequence contains ITS2
Rfam family: 5.8S ribosomal RNA (bases 1-154)
Source: RNAcentral
AACUUUUAACAACGGAUCACUUGGCUCUGGCAUCGAUGAAGAACGCAGCGAAAUGCGAUAAGUAAUGUGAAUUGCAGAGUUCAGUGAAACAUCGAAUCUUUGAACGCACAUUGCGCCCGCUAGCACUCUAGCGGGCAUGCCUGUCCGAGCGUCAUUUCAACCCUCAGAACCCCCUCGGGGGGACUGGCGUUGGGGAUCGGCCCGCCCUGGCGCGGCGCCGUCCCCUAAAUACAGUGGCGGUCUCGCUGCAGCCUCCCCUGCGUAGUAGCACACCUCGCAUCGGAGAGCGGCAAGGCCACGCCGUAAACCCCCAACUUCUGAACGUUGACCUCGGAUCAGGUAGGAAUACCCGCUGAACUUAAGCAUAUCAAUAAGCGGAGGCU